GACGAACGCUGGCGGCGUGCUUAACACAUGCAAGUCGAACGGAAAGGCCCUGCUUUUGUGGGGUGCUCGAGUGGCGAACGGGUGAGUAACACGUGAGUAACCUGCCCUUGACUUUGGGAUAACUUCAGGAAACUGGGGCUAAUACCGGAUAGGAGCUCCUGCUGCAUGGUGGGGGUUGGAAAGUUUCGGCGGUUGGGGAUGGACUCGCGGCUUAUCAGCUUGUUGGUGGGGUAGUGGCUUACCAAGGCUUUGACGGGUAGCCGGCCUGAGAGGGUGACCGGGGAAAAGGGGGCUGCGGUGCGGCCCAGACGGCAACGGGCGGCAGCAGUGGGGGAGCGGGCACAAUGGGCGGGAGGCGGAUGCAGGACCCGCGCGGGGGGGAAGACGGCUUGCGGGUGGUAAAAAGCGUUCGCCCGGGACGAAGCGUGAGGGAAGGUAAGGGGUAAAGAAGCACCGGCUAACUACGUG
Molecule: ribosomal RNA, 468 nt
Filed under: uncultured bacterium
Lineage: Bacteria
Description: partial 16S ribosomal RNA
Rfam family: Bacterial small subunit ribosomal RNA
Source: RNAcentral